This 207-nucleotide long non-coding RNA is filed under the name Lathyrus oleraceus (garden pea). Its description in RNAcentral is "Pisum sativum (pea) long non-coding RNA (PSAT_LNC014975)". Lineage: Eukaryota; Viridiplantae; Streptophyta; Magnoliopsida; Fabales; Fabaceae. The record is from RNAcentral.
AAGUUGAUUUGGUUGUGGAAAUUUAAUCGUGGUUGCAUUGAGCCCAUUCAUUUCUUUUUGUUAAGCCCAUAAUUUUAGCCCAUUAACCAUUUUCCAAAUUUAUCCAUUUUCUAAACAUCCAUUCAAUAUCCACAUUUGUCCAUAUUUCAUCUUGAUAGACCAUUUUCAAUAGCCCAUUAACCAUUUUCCAAAUAAUUCCAUUUUAUU